This 505-nucleotide ribosomal RNA is filed under the name Lactobacillus kefiranofaciens subsp. kefirgranum. RNAcentral's name for it is "bacterial SSU rRNA". It matches the Rfam family "Bacterial small subunit ribosomal RNA", at positions 32 to 503 of the family's 1533-position model. The record is from RNAcentral. Lineage: Bacteria; Bacillati; Bacillota; Bacilli; Lactobacillales; Lactobacillaceae.
AACGCUGGCGGCGUGCCUAAUACAUGCAAGUCGACGCACUGGGCCCAACUGAUGAUGGGCUGCACCGGAUUGACUAUGGAUCCCAGUGAGUGCGACGGGUGAGUCACACGUGGGUACCUGCCCCAGAACGGGGAUCACCACUUGGAAACAGAUGCUAAUACCGCAUCACCACAAGAGCCACAGGGCUCGUGUUUGAAAAGCGGCUUUGGCUAUCGCUUUGGGAUGGACCUGCGGUGCAUUAGCUAGUUGGUAAGGUAACGGCUUACCAAGGCGAUGAUGCAUAGCCGAGUUGAGAGACUGAUCGGCCACAAUGGGACUGAGACACGGCCCAUACUCCUACGGGAGGCAGCAGUAGGGAAUCUUCCACAAUGGGCCGCAAGCCUGAUGGAGUAACGCCGCGUGAGUGAAGAAGCGUUUCGAGUCGUAAAGCUCUGUUGGUGAUGAAGAAGGAUAGAGGCAGUACUGGGCUUAUUUGACGGUAUCACCAGAAAGUCACGGCUAACUA